This 130-nucleotide microRNA precursor is filed under the name Podarcis lilfordi (Lilford's wall lizard). The record is from RNAcentral. Lineage: Eukaryota; Metazoa; Chordata; Lepidosauria; Squamata; Lacertidae.
UGUCCAGUAGCACCUUAGAGACCAACUAAGUUUGUUCUAGGUAUAAGCUUUCGUAUCUGAAGAAGUGUGCAUGCACACGAAAGCUUAUACCCAGAACAAACUUAGUUGGUCUCUAAGGUGCUACUGGACA